CCCUCUGUAGCUCAGUUGGUUAGAGCGCUGCACCGGAAUCGCAGGGCGUAGGUUCAAUUCCUACCAGAGGAC
RNAcentral lists this transfer RNA (72 nucleotides) under Paramuricea clavata. It matches the Rfam family "tRNA". Rfam says of the family: Transfer RNA (tRNA) molecules are approximately 80 nucleotides in length. Their secondary structure includes four short double-helical elements and three loops (D, anti-codon, and T loops). Further hydrogen bonds mediate the characteristic L-shaped molecular structure. tRNAs have two regions of fundamental functional importance: the anti-codon, which is responsible for specific mRNA codon recognition, and the 3' end, to which the tRNAs corresponding amino acid is attached (by aminoacyl-tRNA synthetases). tRNAs cope with the degeneracy of the genetic code in two manners: having more than one tRNA (with a specific anti-codon) for a particular amino acid; and 'wobble' base-pairing, i.e. permitting non-standard base-pairing at the 3rd anti-codon position. Lineage: Eukaryota; Metazoa; Cnidaria; Anthozoa; Malacalcyonacea; Plexauridae. The record is from Rfam by way of RNAcentral.